CUCUAUGGUGCAACUACCUUCUCUGCUGUGAGGAGUGUAGACAAUUCAGCCAUGCAACAACAAACCAGCAGAGUUAACAGGGCCACCAGUCUCUCAAGAACAGGCUGAGUCGGUAGUAUAAUACUCUGACACUU
Molecule: small nucleolar RNA, 134 nt
Organism: Hucho hucho (huchen)
Lineage: Eukaryota; Metazoa; Chordata; Actinopteri; Salmoniformes; Salmonidae
Source: Ensembl